UACGUAGGGGGCAAGCGUUGUCCGGAAUAACUGGGCGUAAAGGGCGCGUAGGCGGCUUUUUAAGUCUGGAGUGAAAGUCCCGCUUUUAAGGUGGGAAUUGCUUUGGAAACUGGAGAGCUUGAGUGCAGAAGAGGUAAGUGGAAUUCCCAGUGUAGCGGUGAAAUGCGUAGAGAUUGGGAGGAACACCAGUGGCGAAGGCGACUUACUGGGCUGUAACUGACGCUGAGGCGCGAAAGCGUGGGUAGCAAACAGGAUUAGAUACCCUGGUAGUCCACGCUGUAAACGAUGAAUGCUAGGUGUAGGGGGUAUCGACCCCUCCUGUGCCGGAGUUAACACAAUAAGCAUUCCGCCUGGGGAGUACGGCCGCAAGGUUGAA
This 376-nucleotide ribosomal RNA is filed under the name uncultured bacterium. RNAcentral describes it as "bacterial SSU rRNA". It matches the Rfam family "Bacterial small subunit ribosomal RNA", at positions 524 to 898 of the family's 1533-position model. The record is from RNAcentral.